RNAcentral lists this ribosomal RNA (97 nucleotides) under Ramlibacter sp. The record is from RNAcentral. Lineage: Bacteria; Pseudomonadati; Pseudomonadota; Betaproteobacteria; Burkholderiales; Comamonadaceae.
AGGUGGUCCCACUCCUUCCCAUCCCGAACAGGACAGUGAAACGCCUCAGCGCCGAUGAUAGUGCGGAUUCCCGUGUGAAAGUAGGACAUCGUCAGGC